RNAcentral lists this long non-coding RNA (262 nucleotides) under Elaeis guineensis (African oil palm). RNAcentral describes it as "long non-coding RNA (EGUI_LNC024412)". Lineage: Eukaryota; Viridiplantae; Streptophyta; Magnoliopsida; Arecales; Arecaceae. The record is from RNAcentral.
GCUGGAUAACUAAUAAAUAAAUUAAUCAAUCUGAGAUAUGAUGGCAUGAUGAUGUUAGGUUUACAUUAUAAAACUAGAGAGUAUUGCACCUAAGCUUAAUAUUUUUUUAGAUCCCUAUCCCUAAUGCUUUUCUUGGUCAUUAAGCUCUUAGUCUUCUUUUUGCGCAAUAUAGUCAUCCUCAAACCACAAAUAAUGCAUAAAGGGAUAAAUAAAAUGUGAACAAAUUUAUUUCUUUUUUGUUCAAGAGUUUUAAUAUUUUAGG